Molecule: unclassified non-coding RNA, 336 nt
Filed under: soil metagenome
Description: partial contains 5.8S ribosomal RNA, internal transcribed spacer 2, and large subunit ribosomal RNA
Rfam family: 5.8S ribosomal RNA (bases 1-119)
Source: RNAcentral
GAUGAAGAACGUAGCGAAAUGCGAUAGUAAUGUGAAUUGCAGAAUUCAGUGAAUCAUCGAAUCUUUGAACGCACAUUGCGCCCCUUGGUAUUCCGAGGGGCAUGCCUGUUCGAGCGUCAUUACACCACUCAAGCUAUGCUUGGUAUUGGGCGUCGUCCUUAGUUGGGCGCGCCUUAAAGACCUCGGCGAGGCCACUCCGGCUUUAGGCGUAGUAGAAUUUAUUCGAACGUCUGUCAAAGGAGAGGAACUCUGCCGACUGAAACCUUUAUUUUUCUAGGUUGACCUCGGAUCAGGUAGGGAUACCCGCUGAACUUAAGCAUAUCAAUAAGCGGAGGA